This 2881-nucleotide ribosomal RNA is filed under the name Burkholderia multivorans. RNAcentral describes it as "23S ribosomal RNA". It matches the Rfam family "Bacterial large subunit ribosomal RNA". The record is from RNAcentral. Lineage: Bacteria; Pseudomonadati; Pseudomonadota; Betaproteobacteria; Burkholderiales; Burkholderiaceae.
GGUCAAGCGAACAAGUGCAUGUGGUGGAUGCCUUGGCGAUCACAGGCGAUGAAGGACGCGGUAGCCUGCGAAAAGCCCCGGGGAGCUGGCAAACAAGCUUUGAUCCGGGGAUGUCCGAAUGGGGAAACCCACUCCUUUUGGAGUAUCCAUAGCUGAAUACAUAGGCUAUGUGAAGCGAACGCGGUGAACUGAAACAUCUAAGUAACCGCAGGAAAAGAAAUCAACCGAGAUUCCCAAAGUAGUGGCGAGCGAAAUGGGAUGAGCCUUGUACUCUUUAUUUGUAUUGUUAGCCGAACGCUCUGGAAAGUGCGGCCAUAGCAGGUGAUAGCCCUGUAGGCGAAAACAGUAUGAAAGAACUAGGUGUACGACAAGUAGGGCGGGACACGUGAAAUCCUGUCUGAAGAUGGGGGGACCAUCCUCCAAGGCUAAAUACUCGUGAUCGACCGAUAGUGAACCAGUACCGUGAGGGAAAGGCGAAAAGAACCCCGGGAGGGGAGUGAAAUAGAUCCUGAAACCGCAUGCAUACAAACAGUCGGAGCCUCGUAAGGGGUGACGGCGUACCUUUUGUAUAAUGGGUCAGCGACUUACGUUCAGUAGCAAGCUUAACCGUAUAGGGCAGGCGUAGCGAAAGCGAGUCCGAAUAGGGCGUUCAGUUGCUGGGCGUAGACCCGAAACCAGGUGAUCUAUCCAUGGCCAGGAUGAAGGUGCGGUAACACGUACUGGAGGUCCGAACCCACUAACGUUGAAAAGUUAGGGGAUGAGCUGUGGAUAGGGGUGAAAGGCUAAACAAACCUGGAAAUAGCUGGUUCUCUCCGAAAACUAUUUAGGUAGUGCCUCGUGUCUCACCUUCGGGGGUAGAGCACUGUCAUGGUUGGGGGGUCUAUUGCAGAUUACCCCGCCAUAGCAAACUCCGAAUACCGAAGAGUGCAAUCACGGGAGACAGACAUCGGGUGCUAACGUCCGGUGUCAAGAGGGAAACAACCCAGACCGCCAGCUAAGGUCCCCAAAUAUGGCUAAGUGGGAAACGAAGUGGGAAGGCUAAAACAGUCAGGAGGUUGGCUUAGAAGCAGCCACCCUUUAAAGAAAGCGUAAUAGCUCACUGAUCGAGUCGUCCUGCGCGGAAGAUGUAACGGGGCUAAGCCAUAUACCGAAGCUGCGGAUGCGUGCUUGCACGCAUGGUAGGAGAGCGUUCCGUAAGCCUGCGAAGGUGCCUUGUAAAGGGUGCUGGAGGUAUCGGAAGUGCGAAUGCUGACAUGAGUAGCGAUAAAGGGGGUGAAAGGCCCCCUCGCCGUAAGCCCAAGGUUUCCUACGCAACGUUCAUCGGCGUAGGGUGAGUCGGCCCCUAAGGCGAGGCAGAAAUGCGUAGCUGAUGGGAAGCAGGUCAAUAUUCCUGCACCAUUGUUAGAUGCGAUGGGGGGACGGAUCGCGGAAGGUUGUCCGGGUGUUGGACGUCCCGGUCGCUGCAUUGGAGAAGGCGCUUAGGCAAAUCCGGGCGCAGGAUUCAAGGGUGUGGCGCGAGCGACUUCGGUCGCGAAGCAAUUGGAAGUGGUUCCAAGAAAAGCCUCUAAGCUUCAGUCUAACGAUGACCGUACCGCAAACCGACACAGGUGGGCGAGAUGAGUAUUCUAAGGCGCUUGAGAGAACUCGGGAGAAGGAACUCGGCAAAUUGGUACCGUAACUUCGGGAUAAGGUACGCCCUUGUAGCUUGACCAGCCUGCGCUGGAAGGGUGAAGGGGUUGCAAUAAACUGGUGGCUGCGACUGUUUAAUAAAAACACAGCACUCUGCAAACACGAAAGUGGACGUAUAGGGUGUGACGCCUGCCCGGUGCCGGAAGAUUAAAUGAUGGGGUGCAAGCUCUUGAUUGAAGUCCCGGUAAACGGCGGCCGUAACUAUAACGGUCCUAAGGUAGCGAAAUUCCUUGUCGGGUAAGUUCCGACCUGCACGAAUGGCGUAACGAUGGCCACACUGUCUCCUCCCGAGACUCAGCGAAGUUGAAGUGUUUGUGAUGAUGCAAUCUACCCGCGGCUAGACGGAAAGACCCCAUGAACCUUUACUGUAGCUUUGCAUUGGACUUUGAACCGAUCUGUGUAGGAUAGGUGGGAGGCUAUGAAACCGGAACGCUAGUUUCGGUGGAGCCGUCCUUGAAAUACCACCCUGGUUUGUUUGAGGUUCUAACCUUGGUCCGUGAUCCGGAUCGGGGACAGUGCAUGGUAGGCAGUUUGACUGGGGCGGUCUCCUCCCAAAGGGUAACGGAGGAGUACGAAGGUACGCUAGGUACGGUCGGAAAUCGUGCUGAUAGUGCAAUGGCAUAAGCGUGCUUAACUGCGAGACCGACAAGUCGAGCAGGUGCGAAAGCAGGUCAUAGUGAUCCGGUGGUUCUGUAUGGAAGGGCCAUCGCUCAACGGAUAAAAGGUACUCUGGGGAUAACAGGCUGAUACCGCCCAAGAGUUCAUAUCGACGGCGGUGUUUGGCACCUCGAUGUCGGCUCAUCUCAUCCUGGGGCUGUAGCCGGUCCCAAGGGUAUGGCUGUUCGCCAUUUAAAGAGGUACGUGAGCUGGGUUUAAAACGUCGUGAGACAGUUUGGUCCCUAUCUGCCGUGGGCGUUGGAUAUUUGAAGGGGGCUGCUCCUAGUACGAGAGGACCGGAGUGGACGAACCUCUGGUGUACCGGUUGUGACGCCAGUCGCAUCGCCGGGUAGCUAUGUUCGGAAGAGAUAACCGCUGAAAGCAUCUAAGCGGGAAACUCGCCUUAAGAUGAGAUAUCCCUGGAGGCUUGACCUCCUUGAAGGGUCGUUCGAGACCAGGACGUUGAUAGGUCGGGUGUGUAAGCGCAGUAAUGCGUUCAGCUAACCGAUACUAAUUGCCCGUAAGGCUUGAUCCU